GUUUGAUCCUGGCUCAGGAUGAACGCUAGCGGCAGGCUUAACACAUGCAAGUCGAGGGGUAGGGCAGCAAUGCUUGAGACCGGCGCACGGGUGCGUAACGCGUAUGCAAUCUACCUUUUGCAGAGGGAUAGCCCAGAGAAAUUUGGAUUAAUACCUCAUAGUAUAAUGAAUUCGCAUGGAUUUAUUAUUAAAGUAACAACGGCAAAAGAUGAGCAUGCGUCCCAUUAGCUAGAUGGUAAGGUAACGGCUUACCAUGGCGACGAUGGGUAGGGGUCCUGAGAGGGAGAUCCCCCACACUGGUACUGAGACACGGACCAGACUCCUACGGGAGGCAGCAGUGAGGAAUAUUGGACAAUGGGCGCAAGCCUGAUCCAGCCAUGCCGCGUGCAGGAUGACGGUCCUAUGGAUUGUAAACUGCUUUUGUACAGGAAGAAACCCUCGGACGUGUCCGAGAUUGACGGUACUGUAAGAAUAAGGAUCGGCUAACUCCGUGCCAGCAGCCGCGGUAAUACGGAGGAUCCAAGCGUUAUCCGGAAUCAUUGGGUUUAAAGGGUCCGUAGGCGGUUUAGUAAGUCAGUGGUGAAAGCCCAUCGCUCAACGGUGGAACGGCCAUUGAUACUGCUAGACUUGAAUUAUAAGGAAGUAACUAGAAUAUGUAGUGUAGCGGUGAAAUGCUUAGAUAUUACAUGGAAUACCAAUUGCGAAGGCAGGUUACUACUUAUGGAUUGACGCUGAUGGACGAAAGCGUGGGUAGCGAACAGGAUUAGAUACCCUGGUAGUCCACGCCGUAAACGAUGGAUACUAGCUGUUGGGAGUAAUCUCAGUGGCUAAGCGAAAGUGAUAAGUAUCCCACCUGGGGAGUACGUUCGCAAGAAUGAAACUCAAAGGAAUUGACG
RNAcentral lists this ribosomal RNA (896 nucleotides) under uncultured bacterium. Its description in RNAcentral is "bacterial SSU rRNA". It matches the Rfam family "Bacterial small subunit ribosomal RNA", at positions 11 to 915 of the family's 1533-position model. The record is from RNAcentral.